CAAUUCUCUUCCAGUCUGCACUCCCUUCCAAACUACUUAUUUUUGUGUGUCUUUACAAAUAGGACAAUGGGGAAAAUUAAAAGUAAUCACAGGCAGUGAAGAAUGGGUUAGGUUUCCUGUUUUGAACUCACACAUGGUUUUUUCUUCCACAGUGGUCUUCUGGGAUGAAAUAUAUCCAUGAAAGUUACCUUAAGUUGCUAUAGAAUUUGAAAACUAUAGACCUGGGUUUAAAUUUCUGCUUCACUACCAACUAGCUAUAUGAAAUGGGCAUAUUACAACAUGCAUCCUCAACAUGCAGAGACCUAUUUGAAAUUCGCUCCUUGGAGGAGUAGAGAAGAUAGGAAGGCGUGUUACUCGCCUGGGGUGACGAUCUCACCGAACUCCAACCCUUAGUUUUACCCUGGAAGCCUCUUUCUGAAGACUGCAGCUGAGGCUGAGAACAAGAGUAAGAGUACAUCUUCUCAUAAGAAGGUAAGAGGCCUGAGGUAAGAAGGUAAAAGAGUCUCAUUGUUUCUGUCACUUCUUAUGUAUUAAAAGGUCACAGAAGCAGCUCAAGUCAGAAAGAAAUGUGCCCAGGACAGAGCUGAUGGUGGAGGCAAAAGAGAUGGACGGGGUGGUAGUCUUUGCAAAACAUAUCUAUGUGGUUGAAUUCCAGGAAAUUGUGUUUUAAAUUAAAUUUAGAGCAUUUUUUUCUCCAAGAAAAGGAUGGGGAAAAUAAUUAUACAAUUUGUAUACUGUGUAAAAAUCACAAUCAUAGGCAUCUAUGGAGAGAGAAGCUAUUGAACUGGCGCAAUAAUUGUUUUCAACUUUUUCUUUAAGAUUUGUCUGCUGUUACUUCUGUUGUUUUGUCAUCUGUUAGCACUCAUUCAUGCCACUCAAUAAAGACCUCUUAAGACCACUAUGUCCCUGCUACUGAAUGAAUGCUAGCUCUUGAGGACACCGUGAAGACUAUCCCUCAGUGUCUGCCUUGGAAUUUGUCACCUAUUGAAAACUAUAGCAAGCAGGUGGUGACAAUACAGAGGGGUCAUGCUACAGCGGAUGCGCACACCUAGUCCAACGAAGGCACCUGAGAUGGACAUCUGAAUCAAGUCUGGUGUCAUAGAAGGCAUGGCUAGAAAAGGAGGCUGGGAUUAAACAUCAUCUAUUCUGUCACUGGAAGGAUGGGAAGGAUUUUGCUAGAACAAGAAUGGUGGGAAGGUAAGGAAGGAGCAAGGGAUAUUUUAGGCAAAGGGACUAGUGAGUGCAAGAACAAAGGAGUUGAACAAAGAGAAAGUGUCCGUAGUUCUAGGAACGGCUAAAGGGAUCAGUGUGAUGCGGCUAUCACAGUAGAUAAAUAGUAGGCUGUAAGGGUAUAUGAAAAAGUAUCUGAGGAAAACUAAACAUUGAGAAA
This 1390-nucleotide long non-coding RNA is filed under the name Equus asinus (donkey). RNAcentral's name for it is "lncRNA (ENSEASG00005031826.1)". The record is from RNAcentral. Lineage: Eukaryota; Metazoa; Chordata; Mammalia; Perissodactyla; Equidae.